AACAAAUGUUAUAAAACAUGACAUUAUAACAGAACCAGGUAAAAGGAUCUACCUCAAACCUUAUAGAAUACCUGAAGCUCGCAGGGAGGCAGUUAGGGCAGAAGUUAAAAAAAUGCUACACCUUGGGGUAAUUGAAGAGUCAUGCAGUGAUUGGAGUAGCCCUAUUGUACUUGUACCAAAACCGGAUGGUACAAUAAGAUUUUGUAAUGAUUACCGUAAAUUGAAUGCCAUCUCAAAAUUUGAUUCAUAUCCCAUGCCCAGAGUUGAUGAGCUAGUAGAAAGACUGGGGAAAGCCCGUUACCUCACUACACUUGAUUUAACCAAGGGAUACUGGCAGGUUCCACUAACAGAGCGAGCGAAAGAAAAAACUGCUUUUUCUACCCCCGACGGUGUUUUUCAAUAUAAGGUUUUACCUUUUGGGUUACAUGGGGCCCCUGCCACCUUUCAAAGGAUGAUGGACAGGAUAUUGAAACCACAUAUGCGUUAUGCAGCUGCAUAUUUGGAUGACGUAGUCAUACAUAGUGAAGACUGGGAAUCUCACCUUCCAAAAGUGCAAGCCGUGUUAAAUUCAAUUCGAGAUGCUGGGUUAACGGCUAACCCAAGUAAAUGUACAAUUGGCCUAGAGGAAGCCAAAUACUUGGGGUAUUCUAUUGGAAGGGGUUUAGUGAAACCUCAGCAGGCAAAAAUAGAAGCCAUACGCAAUUGGCCACAACCAGCCACUAAGAAACAGGGGAAUGCUGAUGGGCUCUCAAGAAUGCACUCGCUGAUGUCUAUGGUCGCUCACCCCAUCAGGUCUGAGCUGGGGGGGAGGAUGUGUGACAGAAAGCAAGGAAUGAUAAUGGAGGGAGUGUAUAUUUCACCUUAUAUUUUGCAGGGUGGUUACCCUCAAUAGUUUACUAGCCCCAGGGAGAUGUAUUGUUAAUAAUGUAAUUAUUAAUGUCUGUUGUUAUUUGUGUGUUUUUGGGUCCCUGGGGUGGAGCAUUUGGAGAGUAGGGCGGGCCAGUGCUCCACUCCACAGUUUAUGAGCAGCCGAAGACCAGCAGGUGGGAAUCCAGUCCGGAGAUUAUCGGAUACUCUCCUAGCACUCACCUGCAUCCACUAAUUAAUGGGAGAGGCAGUUAAGUAGCCUUCUGGUCUCAGUGCAAAAGAGAGAUCAUUUGGCUCCCAGAGAGAGAGAGGGAGAGAGCUGCCAACAUACUGAAUGCUGCCAAUAUAAUUUGCAAUUGUGUUAUUUUGUUUUGUUGGAACGGAUAAGCCGUCCAACUGCAGUUAGGUUGGAUUACCCUGUAUUAGUUAGUGCUCACAAGAGCGAGGCUUUUUGUUUUGGUUUAUUUAUUUUCUGUAAUGCCUGUGGCGACGAAAUAAAACAGGCCCAGCCUUUUAUUUUA
This is a long non-coding RNA of Spea bombifrons (plains spadefoot toad), 1388 nucleotides long. RefSeq lists it as uncharacterized. NCBI's taxonomy places the organism in Eukaryota, Metazoa, Chordata, Amphibia, Anura, Pelobatidae. The record is from RefSeq and is a predicted model, not a curated record. The transcript has 2 exons.